CACGCACACACGCGCGGCAUAUCAAUAAGCGGAGGAAAAGAAACUAACAAGGAUUCCCUUAGUAACGGCGAGUGAAGCGGGAAGAGCUCAAAUUUGAAAUCUUCAAGGUUCUACCUUGACGAACUGUAGUUUAUAGAAGUGUUUUCUGUUAGUGGAGUGGCAAAAGUUCUUUGGAAUAGGACUUCAUAGAGGGUGAGAAUCCCAUAUUUGGUCAUUCCUCCUAGCGUUGUGAUACACUUUCAACGAGUCGGAUUGUUUGGGAAUGCAGUCCAAAAUGGGUGGUAAAUUUCAUCUAAAGCUAAAUAUUGGCGAGAGACCGAUAGCGAACAAGUACCGUGAGGGAAAGAUGAAAAGAACUUUGAAAAGAGAGUUAAACAGCACGUGAAAUUGUCAAAAGGGAAGCGUUUGACACCAGUGUUGUUUUUCCGAAAAUCAAUUACGAAUGUUUUAGUUUUUGAGAAGUUAUGACUUCAUCGGCUUGCUUCUCUCUUUAUGAAACUUUCUUAAUGCACUUUUCGGUUAACAAGUCAACAUCAAUUUCUUUUGUUGUAAAAGGGUAUGAGGAAGGUGGCUUUCUUUUCGGAGAAAGUGUUUAUAGCCUUGUACCUCUGCAAUCGGAGAGAUUGAGGUCUGCAGCGUAGAUCCUUCGGGGUUAGAUACAGUUUGUGCUAAGUUAUAGCUUUUCAUAGACAACUUGUUGACUAUGUUUAGUCUUGUAGCUUACUCGCUGAUGCUAUUUUACCUACGCUUAGGAUGUUGAUAGUCACAGCGUGUAC
Molecule: ribosomal RNA, 776 nt
Filed under: uncultured Neocallimastigales
Lineage: Eukaryota; Fungi; Neocallimastigomycota; Neocallimastigomycetes; Neocallimastigales
Description: partial large subunit ribosomal RNA
Rfam family: Eukaryotic large subunit ribosomal RNA
Source: RNAcentral